UCAUUCUUUCUCAAGCCAGCUUCUCCUGCCAAGCUCCUUUCUCUGCUGAUGCAGUACUUAAAGGUGUCUGAUCUAUGCUGCAAAGUUCUGCAUUUCUGCUCCACCACCUCUGUGGCAGAAUAUAGCUCUUGUCAGGCUUACACCUCGUCACUCAGUUUGAUUAGAAAUGGUCACUUUUUCAAGUACAGGACUCUUUUUAAAAAAUUGAGUGUAAUUUACAUGCAAAAAAUACUCUGAUAUUAAGUGUCCAGUUUGAUGAAUUUUGACAAUGUAUGCACUUGUGUAGCCACCACUCAAAAAAACAUAGAGAACAUUCUGUCUUGUGGCUUUUCCCAGUCAGUUCCCACCUCUGCUCCCCAGGGGCAACCACUGUUCUGAUUUCUGUCACCACAGAUUAAUCUUGCCUGUUCUUGGACUUCACAUAAUCAAAACCAUAUAGGAAGUGCUCUUUUGUGUCUGAUUUUUUUUUUCACUCAGCAUAGCAUAAUGUUUUUGAGAUGUAUCCUUGGUGCCCAUAUAAGAUUGUUCCUUUUUUAUCACUGAGUGGUAUCCUAGUGUGUGGAUAGAGCAGAUUGGUUGUCCAUGCUCCUGUUGAUGAACAAUUUGAGUUUUUUCCAGCUCAAGUACAGUAUUUUUUAACCAGAAUUUUGUUCAUGACCUUUUCCAGCUUUAAGGCAUUGUCAUCCUGUCAUUGUCAGCUGUAUAAUGCAAUUAACCAAAAUUUCAAUUUCUUUUUCAGAAGUCAGAGUUUCUGGUUGUCAAUCCUGGCUGCUCACUAGAAUCACCUGGGGAGUUGUAAAUCCCAACAAUCAGGCCACACCUAAGACCCAUUAAGUGAGGCUCUCUGGAAGUGGGUGGGGCCUAGAGUCCGAGGUUUUAGAGCCCCCCUGUGAUUGCACCGUGUGGCCAGUAGGGGCACUCUUGCACGAAGUCUUCUGGAGUCGGCGGAAGGCUUGGAAUGUUGCUCUCGUCUGAAGCUUCCCAUGAUAACUGCUCCGUGCUCUUCUUAAAUCCGUGUCUUCUGGGCUUUGUUGCUUGCCCCUGCAUGGAUCUUUGGAGCAGCCAGCGGGACACCUUUCUCCACCGCACGUGUAUCAGUGUCUGUCUGUACCUGACCCAGAGGGCAGCGCCUCCAAGCAUAGGAAUCCAGGGACAACUGCACUUUCAUUAUGAACAGCUGGAUCAUAAAGAGUCAACAGAACAAUCUGCAGUCCUUUAGGGAAGAUGACAAUGGCUGUGUCAGUGCUAUUUACUGCAUAAGAAUUAUGAAGCUUAAGUGGGGCUUUGUCAAUUCCGAUUGGAAUGUCGUGGUCUUCUCCUUCGCCAACUAUGAACCCCACAUCUCUGCAAUCAAACAUCCUUCCACCACAGCGGCCUUCCAGGUGGACUGAGGGAGAGGAGAAGGACAGUCAACAGAGCUGCUCUUCGUGACUAAUUCAGGGACCUGAUAAAUGAGUAGUUCCCCUUCCUCAUUUCAUCUAGAGACAUACGUGGUAUGUCUUGUUGAAGCUUAGUCUGCCCAGUCUGGAAAUUUAAGAGCAAUCAUAUUUCUUUCUGUUUUAAGUUUAAACAUAAUUACUGAUAACUACAUCAGUAAGAUAGCUUAGAGGAUAAUAAAGUAGAAACACAGGUUUAACUUAAACCUACUAUAUGACAGAGGUUUCCUCACCUAUAACACAAAACAAGAAAUACUAGAUUAUUUAAUAGGUAAUUAUCAAAAUGCCACAAACUUAAUAUCAAGUAUACAAAGGCUUAAACAUUUAUAACUGCAUCUUGGCUUCGGAUGCUUGGGUUGAAAAACAACCGAAUGGCUAUUUCCCCAGUGAUAUUAAAGGGUUAACUGAAUAUAGAAGCUCUUUUUUUUUUUCUUUAAGAGUUUUAAUCUCAUUCACAAAUAUGUCUGAAUAAAAAUGAAAAGGCCAAAGGCAACAUCAUCAAUAACUAACAUAUCUGUAAUCCCUUAGCGCAGUAAAAAAUGUAAAAUGUGAAGGAAUCAAUAGUCUCCUAUAACUCGACAAAUCAAAUUACUCAACCCCCUCCUCUGAAAUGUUAAGUGAAGAGGUCAAUUUCUCAGGGUCUACUUCCUCAUUGCACUCAAACUCAGCUCAUUCCCAGGGUAAUUUCACAUUAGAUAAGGGGCUUUUAUGUUCAUAUAAAAUAGGAAAACACAUACAGAUAUAUAUUUUUCUCUUGGUUAGUUAGACUUUUUCUUCUGGGAUAAAUUCUUUGAAACUUUCCAACUAUGUUUAAUAUUACGGAUAUUCAUUCCUUUCCACUUAGGUCUUUCAUUCAGUCAGAAAAAUGGAUGGCUUGUAUGACAGCACAACAGUCGACAAGCAAUGUAAUAAUUUGUCUUUCAUAAGAAAAUUUUUUAUUCCUACUUCUGUAAUAUAAUGGCCUUGAUUCAAAUGUAAGGAAUUCCUAAAAUGCUUCUUUUCUGAGACUGGUUGAUCUAUUUUAGAUCAAUAACUUGCUUUAGAGAUAAAAAUCACUUGUUCUGUUACAUUCGUUCCAGGAGACAAUUGUUUUCCAAAUUCAAUUCCAACUUACUCUACUUUUGAACUACUUGAUCUCAAAGGUCCUUUGAAGCUCUAAAAUUCUACGAUUCUAUGGCCCAGUAAUAUAACUCUCAAUGUAGACCAGAAACCAGCUUCAAAGCUAAUUCCUGUAGUUAAUCAUUUCAUCAGGUUACCUUUAGCCCAGGCCUAGGAAAUGAGAGAAACCCUGAAGAGUAAACAGCAGUGGCAUAGACACUAGGGGCAGAAAUGUCACAUGGACAUUUAUGCUUUGAAGUUCUCUACUGUUUUCUAAGUCACUAGGAUUAAUACCAUCCCGAUUUGUUCCCGUUGCAGACAUAGGGUGGAGUCGAAGACGCUUGGGCCAAACUAGAGAAGGCCUGACUCUCGAGUCAGACCUUCUAAACAGGGGCAAGAGCUAGACUGGCUCUCAGGGUGGAGCUGGCAUACAGAAAUUUUGUUCUAUGUCCCAUACUCAUAAAUGCACAUGACUUUCUAUUAACUCACUUUUGGAAUGUUCUAGAUAAAAUACAGCUUAGCUUGCAGCACAGUGAAAGUUCUUUUGAAUUGGAAAUAGUUUCAAAAUAAAUUCAACUUUAUUAUUUUCAAAUACAUACACACUAGAGAGGUUCUGCAAGGAAUCCUAGGCUUAAGAUAUUUUUUACUGGAGUAAAAGCUGGUGUCUCUAAAGAAUUUGAGAGUUUGAAAAUUUGUGUUCUUAAAUAUCUUUAAAUCUGCCCAAGAAAUUUAAUUUAGACUAAUGUGAUGAUACUUUUCAUGAGAAAAGAUUUGCUAAGCAAAGUGAGUUUCGGCCCACAUAUUAUAGAAUAUCUCAAGCAUUGAGAUUUAUUAUCCUAGUAGCUCACAACUUAGUUGACAGAUCUUUUUGAGUGAGGUUUAUUGUUAGAAGUGUUUCCUCCCUGAUGGAGAGUACAUUUAGUGGGGGAGGAAACUAUCAGUACAUUCGUUGUGGUUUUUGGUUGAUCAAGUUUGAAUGUGUUUUCAAAACAGGAAAUCCAGAGACUCUGUGAAGGAUUCCUGCCUGUGUGUCAGUUUCCUAGGCUGGUUUUUCAGCUUGAUGCAUAUACUUGAUAUUAAAAUUACAUAAAUAAUUUCAGAAGUUCUCUUUACAUGUGAUAACCCUUCAUAUUAGGGAAAGAAAAGACUGGCUACUAAUAAACAUGUUGGGAAAGAUAAGUCAAGCAAGCAAGCAAAAAAAAAAAGUUCAAGUCAAAGUAUAAUGAAGGCAUAAUUAAGAAAGCAAAAAAAAAAUGUUCACUGCAGCCGGUCUCUCUAAGAGAAACAAUAUAUGGUAGAACCAAUGUUUUUGGCCACCUAAUAGGGAAACAUUUGCAAUAACUCUUAUAAAUACUUACUACCUUAUAUAGGGACCAAUCUUUUUUUUCUAUUAAAUCUCUUUGAAGUUGAACCUGAAUAAGCACUACCUACAGUACCAUAGAAUCUUAAAUUGAUAAACUGAUACGCAUGCGUGCGUGCACACACGCAGCAGUCUUUACGUGUAUAUAUAAAACCUUUUAAUACUGACAUUAUCUGGAAUGUCAGAGCAAGAGGAGGUAUCACAGCCUCAGGGAGUAUAGUCCAUUGAUUCUUUACAUCUACAAGUAGCAAACACUCUCUCUAGAUUAACUGGUUUCUAAAAUUGGAACACUGGUGUGACAAGUUCUAUGACAGCUGACAAGAACUCCUCCCCACCUUGGAGCCGAUUGCCGCAGCAGGGACCUCCAUCAUGGUGACAGAUGCAGACAUGCCUGACUCCUAUAGAUCCAAUUUUUUUUUUAAUUGUCUCGAUAAUUGUUACCAAAGAAAACCAUGGCAGCUCUGGCUGUGGAAGACCUGUGGUUGCUUUUGACCUUGUAUUGCUUAGUGCAAAAACUCAUUUAAUAAAUAUUUAAUAAUAAC
This is a long non-coding RNA of Orcinus orca (killer whale), 4436 nucleotides long. RefSeq lists it as uncharacterized. The transcript is spliced from 4 exons. NCBI's taxonomy places the organism in Eukaryota, Metazoa, Chordata, Mammalia, Artiodactyla, Delphinidae. The record is from RefSeq and is a predicted model, not a curated record.